This is a non-coding RNA of Otolemur garnettii (small-eared galago), 1212 nucleotides long. NCBI's taxonomy places the organism in Eukaryota, Metazoa, Chordata, Mammalia, Primates, Galagidae. The record is from the annotation of a RefSeq genome assembly.
CCUCAGGCAAGAUCCACUCCUCAUGCCAGGUCCUCCAGCACAGAGGUGAGGCGGCAGGGGCCUGCCCUCACAGGGCUGUCAGGAGUUCGGCAGCAUGAGAGCAAUGUGCUCAACAGUGUUUCCUGUGUUCCAGCGUCCCCGACCAAACCCGAGGUGUUCCCACUGAGUCUUCGAAGUGCUGAGCCGGAUGGGCAGGUGGUCAUUGCCUGCCUAGUCCAGGGCUUCUUCCCCUCGGAGCCACUGACAAUGACCUGGAACAAAAGUGGGGAGGUCAGACACUUCCUGCCCUCCCAGGCUGGCACCGGGGGCCUGUACACUGCAAGCAGCCAGCUGACUCUGCCAGCCGCCCAGUGCCCAGAUGGCUCAUCUGUGCAGUGCCACGUGAAGCACCACACAUACCCCAACCAGGAUGUGUUGGUGCCCUGCACCCUUCAACCCCCAGUGCCAUCCUGCUGCCACCCAAAACUGUCACUGAGCCGGCCUGCCGUGGAAGAUCUGCUCCUGGGCUUGGACGCCAAUCUCACCUGCACACUGAGCGGCCUGGUGAACCCCAACAACGUCAUCUUCGCCUGGACGACCACGGCGGGGAAGGAUGCUGUCCAGCAAACAGCUGUGCGGGACUCCUGUGGCUGCUACAGUGUGUCCAGUGUCCUGCCCGGCUGCGCAGAACCCUGGAACCGUGGGGACCACUUCACGUGCACUGCCACCCAAUCUGAUUCCAAAAUCUCAGAAACUGCCACCAUCUUCAAAGACAUAGGGAAUACCUUCCGGCCCCAGGUCCACCUGCUGCCGCCGCCGUCGGAGGAGCUGGCCCUGAAUGAGCUGGUGACUCUGACAUGCCUGGUGCGCGGCUUCAGCCCCAGUGACGUGAUGGUGCGCUGGCUGCAUGGGUCCCAGGAGCUGCCCCGCGGGGACUACUUGACCUGGGCCCCCCGGCAGGAGCCCGGUCAAGGUGCCAAAACCUUCGCUGUGACCAGCACAUUGCGCGUGACAGCUGAAGACUGGAAGAGGGGGGACAUCUACUCUUGCAUGGUGGGCCACGAGACCCUGCCUCUGUCCUUUACACAGAAGACCAUCGACCGCCUCGCGGGUAAACCCACCCACGUCAAUGUGUCUGUGAUCAUGUCAGAGGCAGAUGGCGUCUGUUACUAAGUCACCCGCUCAACCUGCCCCAUGAAUAAACUCCAUGCUUGUCCCAAGCAUACCCAUGCU